Molecule: ribosomal RNA, 533 nt
Filed under: uncultured Anaplasma sp.
Lineage: Bacteria; Pseudomonadati; Pseudomonadota; Alphaproteobacteria; Rickettsiales; Anaplasmataceae
Description: bacterial SSU rRNA
Rfam family: Bacterial small subunit ribosomal RNA
Source: RNAcentral
CUUUAUAGCUUGCUAUGAUAAAAAUUAGUGGCAGACGGGUGAGUAAUGCAUAGGAAUCUACCUAGUAGUAUGGGAUAGCCACUAGAAAUGGUGGGUAAUACUGUAUAAUCCCUGCGGGGGAAAGAUUUAUCGCUAUUAGAUGAGCCUAUGUUAGAUUAGCUAGUUGGUAGGGUAAAGGCCUACCAAGGCAGUGAUCUAUAGCUGGUCUGAGAGGAUGAUCAGCCACACUGGAACUGAGAUACGGUCCAGACUCCUACGGGAGGCAGCAGUGGGGAAUAUUGGACAAUGGGCGCAAGCCUGAUCCAGCUAUGCCGCGUGAGUGAGGAAGGCCUUAGGGUUGUAAAACUCUUUCAGUGGGGAAGAUAAUGACGGUACCCACAGAAGAAGUCCCGGCAAACUCCGUGCCAGCAGCCGCGGUAAUACGGAGGGGGCAAGCGUUGUUCGGAAUUAUUGGGCGUAAAGGGCAUGUAGGCGGUUCGGUAAGUUAAAGGUGAAAUGCCAGGGCUUAACCCUGGAGCUGCUUUUAAUACUGC